AAGAUCUCUUCUGUAGCAAUGCUAUCAUCCGAGAAGUAGCGGCAGCAGAUCAAAAUACCGGCAUUGUUGCUAAUGAUUCCAGUCAUUGCUUAAAAAUUGGAACCCACCCGCAGAAUUUAGAUGGAGCAACCAAAUCAGAACCAAAUCGCCACUCAACAAACAAUUUCUACGUGAAACAACAACACUAGCACAAACUAGAAACACUUCCAAGAUCAACCAACUGGCACAUAACUUCCAUCGUGAACCGAAUAAUCUAAUCACUUUCCAAAAUAGCUUGUCGGAACUGGCAUAAGGAAAGAACAUAAUGGUCCACAUGACUAUGGCCCUGGAGGCCGGCGGCGAUACCGGUACCGGUGCUACCAGUCAACAAUCUCGCCUGAAUGUGGAAGUUGACACCAACUGAUUUCUCUUGUGCACCUGGAACAACGAAAACCAUACUUUCUACUACUGGAUCAAACGGAAGUGAUUAAAAGGAGAUAACACUUGGUCCACCGGUCAUGAAAGAAUUGGAGACGGAUGGCUAAAUUCCUCUACCGAUACGGCAAGUAAAGAUUGGCCCGAUAGGAAACCCGUGAAUGGGAACCCAAAUGAAAAUCGAAAAAAAUCCGAACAUCACACCAGGAAAUAUUGCUCGUACCUUACGCCUGCAUCUAUAUUGUUUCGGCAGAGGAUUCGAAGUUGUUAGCAAAGUUGUUAUAAAAAAAAAUACUUCGAGAAGCCUUUGACUUAUGUGGUUUUGGCAGCGGCACUGGUGGUGGCAAAACUCCUCAUGGCCCUCCAUCAGGAUGGUUUGCCGGUGAUUUUUUUUUGGAUCCAACGGAUGGAACCAACGUCUGCAACAAUUAGUCCGCUAGAGAUCGAUGGACCAACUACCUGUACGCUGUGCAUGCAGUAUAGUCUGUUGCAAUACUUUCAUCUUUACCUGAAUCGUAUAACGUAUUAAUUACACUCUACAAUUAUCAAUCUCGCAAAGAAGGCAAUAAGGUGCAAAUGGCACUGAACAAUUGUGUACCAGGCGAUAGGCAACACAUCCAUUUGCGCCGAAUCUCCCACGGAUAAUGAAGUGCAAACUGUUUUGCAGAACUUGAAAUUCCGGGAGGCCACAACAAUAAUAAUAAUAGUAUUAAAAGUAAUAUGAGCUCCGCUGAUGAGGAGAUGGAGGUGGCAAACAAAAAUUCCCCACAGUGGUGCAUCAAUGGUUUUAGCAGCCGAAUGUUUAACGGAUAUAAGAUUCUGCCACGACCGAUGUAUACCAAAUCCGACGUAGUGGGAUAUAUUAAUGUAAAAAUAUUGCUCCGAGUAUUACUUUGGAAAGCAAAAAGCAAAAGUUUUAAAUUUUCACAGAAUUAUUUUCGCUAUUUGGAGUGAUCCUGUUGUUCUACCAACCACUGUCGUACCUCAACAUCGAUAUAGUAAUUGUAAUUUGUAAUAAAAUUCA
Molecule: long non-coding RNA, 1438 nt
Organism: Armigeres subalbatus
Lineage: Eukaryota; Metazoa; Arthropoda; Insecta; Diptera; Culicidae
Exons: 5
Source: RefSeq, a predicted model, not a curated record